UACAGGGGGUGCAAACGUUGCUCGGAAUCAUUGGGCGUAAAGAGCGUGUAGGCGGCUUGGUAAGUCCGCUGUGAAAGUCCAGGGCUCAACCCUGGAAAGCCGGUGGAAACUGUCAAGCUUGAGUCCGGAAGAGGCGAGUGGAAUUCCUGGUGUAGCGGUGAAAUGCGCAGAUAUCAGGAGGAACACCAAUGGCGAAGGCAGCUCGCUGGGACGGUACUGACGCUGAGACGCGAAAGCGUGGGGAGCAAACAGG
Molecule: ribosomal RNA, 253 nt
Filed under: uncultured bacterium
Lineage: Bacteria
Description: partial 16S ribosomal RNA
Rfam family: Bacterial small subunit ribosomal RNA
Source: RNAcentral